UGGGGAAUAUUGGACAAUGGGCGCAAGCCUGAUCCAGCCAUGCCGCGUGUGUGAAGAAGGCCUUCGGGUUGUAAAGCACUUUUGUCCGGAAAGAAAAGCUUCGGGUUAAUACCCCGGGGUUCUGACGGUACCGGAAGAAUAAGCACCGGCUAACUUCGUGCCAGCAGCCGCGGUAAUACGAAGGGUGCAAGCGUUACUCGGAAUUACUGGGCGUAAAGCGUGCGUAGGUGGUUUGUUAAGUCUGAUGUGAAAGCCCUGGGCUCAACCUGGGAAUUGCAUUGGAUACUGGCAGGCUAGAGUGCGGUAGAGGAUGGCGGAAUUCCCGGUGUAGCAGUGAAAUGCGUAGAGAUCGGGAGGAACAUCUGUGGCGAAGGCGGCCAUCUGGACCAGCACUGACACUGAGGCACGAAAGCGUGGGGAGCAAACAGGAUUAGAUACCCGGGUAGUCCCUGAGCGGGCUGGCAAGGCGCAU
RNAcentral lists this ribosomal RNA (472 nucleotides) under uncultured bacterium. RNAcentral's name for it is "bacterial SSU rRNA". It matches the Rfam family "Bacterial small subunit ribosomal RNA", at positions 355 to 825 of the family's 1533-position model. The record is from RNAcentral.